This is a non-coding RNA of Peromyscus maniculatus bairdii (prairie deer mouse), 788 nucleotides long. The record is from RefSeq and is a predicted model, not a curated record. Lineage: Eukaryota; Metazoa; Chordata; Mammalia; Rodentia; Cricetidae.
UCUCUCUCUCUCCCUGAAUUUCCUGGGGUCACCCUGCUCAGCUCCUGCUGCCUCAUGCUCAUCCCCAGGGUCUUUAUCUCCUCCCGCUGCACUGCCCCACUUCCAGGAGUUCAUUUGGUGAUGUCUACUCCCCUGAUAAGGUGUGUGUGGCCCUGUGCCUGGCUUGAUAGUGUAGAGACUCGAGCGUGUGGAGUAUGUUGCUGCUGUCAACAUGGCCUCGUCAUCAUCUGUCCCCAGCUCACAGCACCCUCAGGAAGGGGACUCUCUUCUCUAAGUCUAUCUCUCGUCCGUCCUCUUUCUCUGCUUCUGCCUGGCGCUCCGCACACCUGACAAUUCUCAACCCGUCUUAAGUUCCUAGAAGAACACUCCAGGGGGAUAAAGCCCCUCCUCAGCACUGUGAGCGGAGCAGAUGGUGUGAGACAGCAUCCAGCUGGGCCCCGCCUGGGGAAAAAAGGGGCGCAAAAGCAACAAAGGAAAUUUUAUCAUGGGGAGAAGUCCUCUGAGGACAGGACGAAUAAACCACAAGUAGAGCUGCAUAUUGUAAUGUAACCCGGCCCUUAACAGAGUCUGAGUUGAUGGGGAAACAUCCAGUGAUCUUGGAGACCAUGCUGCCCUGCCUUCUGAGAGCUCUAUAAGCCAUCUCAGAGACAAGCCUCCACCUUCACAUCUGCUAAUAGAUGCUGCACAUGCUCAGUUCUGGAUCUUUCUGUGUCAAAGACUUCUGGGGUCCACCGGCUAACUCUUUUCUCUCUCCAACAUUACUAUUUUGUUUAGGAAAAUAAAAUAUU